Molecule: ribosomal RNA, 460 nt
Filed under: uncultured bacterium
Lineage: Bacteria
Description: partial 16S ribosomal RNA
Rfam family: Bacterial small subunit ribosomal RNA
Source: RNAcentral
GACGAACGCUGGCGGCGUGCUUAACACAUGCAAGUCGAGCGGUAAGGCCUCUUCGGGGGUACACGAGCGGCGGACGGGCGGGUAACACGCAGGUGACCUGCCCUCAGCUCUGGGAUAAGCCUGGGAAACUGGGUCUAAUACCGGAUAUGACCUUUCCUCGCAUGGGGGUUGGUGGAUAGAUUGUUCGGCUGGGGAUGGGCGCGCGGGCUAUCUGCUGGUUGGUGGGGUGGUGGCCUACCAAGGCGCCGGUGGGUGGCCGGCCGGAGUGGGCGGCCGGCCACGCGGGGACUUAGCCACGGCCCUGCUUCCUGCGGGAGACGGCAGUGGGGGAUAUUGCUCGGUGGGCGGCAGCCGGACGCAGCGACGCCGCGUGGUGGAUGCCGUCCUUCGGGUUGUAAAUCUCUUUCGUCCCCGACGGAUUUUGACGGUAGUGGGAGAAGAAGCACCGGCCAACUACGUG